AACCUUUGCUGUCUUGGGACGGAUCACCGCUGCAAGAGGGGAAGUUGCUACUGUGAUGAAUUCUGCCAUGUGGCACCAGACUGCCACCCAGACCACAGUGUCCUCUGCAACCCUGCUUCUCAGAUGACCAAGAUGGUGCUGCAGAUGGUGCUGAGGAUGGAGAACCCACCAAGCCCCGCUAGGAGCCACCUAGACUGGAUGCAGAGCAUGAUUUGAAGAUUGUACCAGGAGAGCCGCAGUGUUCCAGAGCUACUGAGGGGGCUGGGCUGGGAUUUGCUGUAUUCGAGAAGACCCCCUUGGACCCGAGAGGCUGUGGGCUUGGGGAGCAUGAGGAGGUUUCACAGCAGAAAGGACACCCCGGGGCUCCUGGAUAAGCCAGAAAAUGUGCCAGGGGAAGUCGGGCUCCAAGGGCACCACUCUGGGCUUCCAGCUGUGUGGGCUGGACCAAGAAGGCUCAGAGAAAUGAUCUCAGGCUUGAAGUGGGGAGAAGAAACUGUAUUAUGAAGGCAGACGAACAGUUCCUGCAAAGCCCCAGCACCCGCAGAGCAGACACUGCGAUGACAACGGACGACACAGAAGUGCCCGCUAUGACUCUAGCACCGGGCCACGCCGCUCUGGAAACUCAAACGCUGAGCGCUGAGACCUCUUC
RNAcentral lists this unclassified non-coding RNA (649 nucleotides) under Homo sapiens (human). RNAcentral describes it as "MUC20 overlapping transcript (ENSG00000281603.2)". The record is from RNAcentral. Lineage: Eukaryota; Metazoa; Chordata; Mammalia; Primates; Hominidae.